This is a long non-coding RNA of Triticum aestivum (bread wheat), 849 nucleotides long. RefSeq lists it as uncharacterized. The record is from RefSeq and is a predicted model, not a curated record. The transcript has 3 exons. Lineage: Eukaryota; Viridiplantae; Streptophyta; Magnoliopsida; Poales; Poaceae.
GGGUAUAACCAUCCAGUCUUUUGGGAUGUAAUAUUUCUGUUUUUGUUAUCUUAUCAUGUGAUGCAUUAGUUACUACCAUGAUAUAAGGUAGGUCACACCCAUUCGUUAGAUAUUACUGAAGGAAGAAUCCUAUUUAUCAAGUACUGUGCUAUUAGUUUGAACAUUAGUACUAUGCUAUGCAUCACAUGGAAAUUAGUACUGUGCUAUGCAUACAACAUAAGGAUGCUGAUUUUAGUGUUAAAGAAGUAGACUAAUUUUUCCUCGCUUGCAACUCUUAUGCAUAAUUACUGAUAUAUGAGACCUGAAAUUGUUUCUGUCAAGUGUUGGGUUCCUGUUAUGACUGAUUCCUUACCUGGUAUGCUGGAAAACCUGCAUAUAUAAUUUCAUUCUUAUGAGUGUACUGAGGCUAGAUUAUUUUGUCGCUCAAUUUGCAGGCUUUCUCCGUGAUUAAUAUAAAUUAUGCAAGGAUCAGAGGAAGGAGGGGAGCUGGCCUUCUUCAUGUCUCGGGGGAGUGUCUUCCUUGGAUUCAACAAGAAGGGGACCCGGCCUUCUUCAUGUCUCGUGCAACAAGGGUGAUCGACGCGGACUACCACAGCCCGGUGGGUGUCGUGCUCUUCAACCACUAGGAGGCGGACUUCGCCGUGAAGCCCGGAGACUGCGUCGUGCAGAUGACCAUCCAGGUGAUUGCGAAUUGCGACACCGGAGGUCGCCGAGGUGGAGGACCUCGACGCCACCGUCCGGCGGGAGGGAGGGUUCGGGUCCACCGGUAGUUGAACUCCGAGUCUUGGUAGAUACAUCUAGACAAGUGGUCUGGUUGUUUGCGUUUGGUGUUAAAUGGGAUAUCGUGAA